This 441-nucleotide ribosomal RNA is filed under the name uncultured Caldilinea sp. RNAcentral describes it as "bacterial SSU rRNA". It matches the Rfam family "Bacterial small subunit ribosomal RNA", at positions 338 to 795 of the family's 1533-position model. Lineage: Bacteria; Bacillati; Chloroflexota; Caldilineae; Caldilineales; Caldilineaceae. The record is from RNAcentral.
CCUACGGGGGGCUGCAGUGAGGAAUAUUGGGCAAUGGGCGAAAGCCUGACCCAGCAACGCCGCGUGGAGGAUGAAGGCCUUAGGGUUGUAAACUCCUUUUGUGGGGGAAAAGAAUGGAUGGUACCCCAAGAAUAAGUCACGGCUAACUACGUGCCAGCAGCCGCGGUAAUACGUAGGUGACAAGCGUUAUCCGGAAUUACUGGGCGUAAAGCGCACGCAGGCGGUCAGAUAAGUCUGAUGUGAAACCUUCUGGCUUAACCAGAAGACGUCGUUGGAUACUGUUUGACUUGAGGCGAUGAGAGGAAUGCGGAAUCCCCGGUGUAAUGGUGGAAUAUGUAGAUAUCGGGGGGAACAUCUGAGGCGAAAGCGGCAUUCUGGCAUUAGCCUGACGCUCAUGUGCGAAAGCGUGGGGAGCAAACGGGAUUAGAUACCCCAGUAGUC